RNAcentral lists this ribosomal RNA (465 nucleotides) under uncultured bacterium. Its description in RNAcentral is "partial 16S ribosomal RNA". It matches the Rfam family "Bacterial small subunit ribosomal RNA", at positions 338 to 795 of the family's 1533-position model. The record is from RNAcentral.
CCUACGGGUGGCAGCAGUAGGGAAUCUUCCACAAUGGGCGGAAGCCUGAUGGAGCAACGCCGCGUGGGUGAAGAAGGUCUUCGGAUCGUAACACCCUGUUGUUAGAGAAGAAAGUGCGUGAGAGUAACUGUUCACGUUUCGACGGUAUCUAACCAGAAAGCCACGGCUAACUACGUGACCACAGCCGGGGUAAUACUUAGGGGGUAAGAGUUAUCCGGAUUUAUUGGGCGUACAGUGAACGCAGGCGGUCUUUUAAGUCUGAUGUGAAAGCCUUCGGCUUAACUGAGGAACUGGAACCAAAACUAACUGUCUUGAGUGCUGGAGAGGAAAGUGGAAUUCCUAGUGUAGCGGUGAAAUGCGUAGAUAUUAGGAGGAACACCAGUGGCGAAGGCGACUUUCUGGACAGUAACUGACGUUGAGGCACGAAAGUGUGGGGAGCAAACAGGAUUAGAUACCCGGGUAGUC